CUGCUCACUUUGGCAGCACAUAUACUAAAAUUGGAAUGCUACAGAGCUUAGCAUGGCCUCUGCAUGAGAAUGACAUGCAAAUUCGUGAAGCAUUCCAUAUUUUU
Molecule: small nuclear RNA, 104 nt
Organism: Suricata suricatta (meerkat)
Lineage: Eukaryota; Metazoa; Chordata; Mammalia; Carnivora; Herpestidae
Source: Ensembl